GGCGGGCCUCCCCGCAUUGCAAGAUGGUGAAUCUGGUCAGGUCCGGAAGGAAGCAGCCACAGCCGUUUAUUGCGAGUGCCGGGGGUCUGGCUCGCCACCCAACA
This 104-nucleotide signal recognition particle RNA is filed under the name Nitrosomonas sp. Is79A3. RNAcentral describes it as "SRP RNA; RNA component of signal recognition particle". It matches the Rfam family "Bacterial small signal recognition particle RNA". Rfam says of the family: The signal recognition particle (SRP) is a universally conserved ribonucleoprotein involved in the co-translational targeting of proteins to membranes. Archaeal SRP consists of a 7S RNA and homologues of the eukaryotic SRP19 and SRP54 proteins. Lineage: Bacteria; Pseudomonadati; Pseudomonadota; Betaproteobacteria; Nitrosomonadales; Nitrosomonadaceae. The record is from RNAcentral.